AUUGAACGCUGGCGGAAUGCUUUACACAUGCAAGUCGAACGGCAGCACGGGUGCUUGCACCUGGUGGCGAGUGGCGGACGGGUGAGGAAUACAUCGGAAUCUACUCUGUCGUGGGGGAUAACGUAGGGAAACUUACGCUAAUACCGCAUACGACCUACGGGUGAAAGCAGGGGACCUUCGGGCCUUGCGCGAUUGAAUGAGCCGAUGUCGGAUUAGCUAGUUGGCGGGGUAAAGGCCCACCAAGGCGACGAUCCGUAGCUGGUCUGAGAGGAUGAUCAGCCACACUGGAACUGAGACACGGUCCAGACUCCUACGGGAGGCAGCAGUGGGGAAUAUUGGACAAUGGGCGCAAGCCUGAUCCAGCCAUACCGCGUGGGUGAAGAAGGCCUUCGGGUUGUAAAGCCCUUUUGUUGGGAAAGAAAUCCAGCUGGCUAAUACCCGGUUGGGAUGACGGUACCCAAAGAAUAAGCACCGGCUAACUUCGUGCCAGCCGCCGCGGUAA
Molecule: ribosomal RNA, 502 nt
Filed under: uncultured bacterium
Lineage: Bacteria
Description: partial 16S ribosomal RNA
Rfam family: Bacterial small subunit ribosomal RNA
Source: RNAcentral